Molecule: ribosomal RNA, 440 nt
Filed under: uncultured bacterium
Lineage: Bacteria
Description: partial 16S ribosomal RNA
Rfam family: Bacterial small subunit ribosomal RNA
Source: RNAcentral
CCUACGGGUGGCAGCAGUGGGGAAUAUUGCACAAUGGGGGAAACCCUGAUGCAGCGACGCCGCGUGAAGGAAGAAGUAUUUCGGUAUGUAAACUUCUAUCAGCAGGGAAGAAAACGACGGUACCUGACUAAGAAGCCCCGGCUAACUACGUGCCAGCAGCCGCGGUAAUACGUAGGGGGCAAGCGUUAUCCGGAUUUACUGGGUGUAAAGGGAGCGUAGGCGGCGCUGCAAGUCAGAAGUGAAAGCCCGGGGCUCAACUCCGGGACUGCGUUUGAAACUGUAUGGAUAGAUUGCAGGAGAGGCAAGUGGAAGUCCGAGUGUAGCGGUGAAAUGCGGAGAUAUUAGGAGGAACACCAGUGGCGAAGGCGGCUUGCUGGACUGUAAAUGACGCUGAGGCUCGAAAGCGUGGGGAGCAAACAGGAUUAGAUACCCGGGUAGUC